AUGGGCGUAGGUUUGGUCUCAGCUUUGGUGGGGACAACGUUGGUAUCGAUAUUAUCGAUAUUAGUAUCGAUCUGCCCACCUCUAUUGGAGGCUGUGUUUGGAUUUUCUUUUGAGAUUUUAAUAAACGUCGAUAUGUUUGGCCAGUACUGCUCGAUCAAGAACUGCCAUAGCAGGUCACACGAUCGUUCAGGGAGGAAACUGAACAACGGAAUACGUUUUUUCAGCCUUCCUUCCUGGAAAAAACAACAAGGAAAGCAGGUGGAGGAGGUUGCCGCAAUCAAGAGAAAAACAUUUUUACUUUCCAAAACAUCCCUGCAUCAGCGAGAGUGUGUUCGCUGCAUUUUCAGUCAGGACAACCAGCAUUUGAAAUGCUGGAUACUCAUCCUGACUGGGCACCAUCUUUACUUCUGGGCCACAAUGAAGUGAAAGUGAUGAACAAAGAGAGGUUUGCACGUCAGUUAAGAAAAUACCUCAAACAUCAGGUAAUUAGCAAGAGGCCAGGAGAGGAAGGGGAGGAGAAAGAACAAGAAGAAAGUUGUCACAGUCUGCUGUGCUCUUACAAACAUGUGUCCAAGUGUUGUGCAGUGAUUGCUAAAUCAACUGGUUUGUAAAAACGUUUGUUAAAAGUUGUACAAAGCAAAAGGUGUUGUGUAUUGUAUAUUCCUUGAUGAUUUGUAGGAUAGUUGAUGAAUGAUGUUGAAUUUGUGGAUUAUGUUAGCAGAUGAUAAAGACAGGCCACAUUGCAUGAAUCAAAAAUUAUUUAUUUUGUUUUCAAUGAACAAUUUGCUUUGAUAUUCUGUACAUAUUUUUACAUGCCUUUUUGAAGUGUUUCUGACUCAAGUUUUUAUAUAACUGCUUAUUAAAUACAUUAAGUGACUUAUCUGUUUCUGUACUGAUUGUAUUCACAGAGACCCUUUAAAGGGAUAGUUUACUUUAAAAUGAAAAUUCUGUCAUUUAUUCACCCUCAAGUUGUUUCAAACCUGUAUGAAUUUCUUUCUUCUGCUGAACACAAAGGAAGAUAUUUUGAAGAAUGUCAAUAACCAAACAGUUACCUGGAACCACUGACUUCCAUAGCAGGAAAAAAAAAUCUAUGGAAGUCAGUGGUUCCAGAUAACUGUUUGGGUACUGACAUUCUUCAACAUGGGUGCAUGUCUCUGCAACUCCAGGCAUACACGUACAGUGGGCUGAGGAAACUUCACCAUUGGUGUUGAUAAUAACCCAAGCCUUCAGAGGAACUUCACCAAGGCACUGGGAGUGCAUCACCUGUACAUAAAGACAGAAAUGUUAAUCAAUGACAGAUAAAUUUGUUAUCUGAUUAAUACAAAUUAAAUGUAGUUAAUUUGUGAUUAAUAAAAGCAGAACCACUUAAAUUAUCUUGCUUUUAUGCUUACACUGUCAAACUAAUUUGUAAAUGUAAAUUAUGUAUUUCAAUGUAAAAAUAAUGUAAUGUAAAUUAUUGAUUAUACAUUAUGUAUUCAUUCAUUUCUAAUCAACAUAAUCACGUGUUACAAAAAUAAAUCUGCCCACCACAAGCAAAAUAAAACUGGGUUUUUAGACAAUUUUGACAAUUAUAACCAAUAUUUUUUUAAAAUGCAACUGCUCAAACCCACUGCUUAUGUCUCUUUAAAAUAACAUAACUUUAGCUGAAUAUUUACCAUUUUGUUUGUUUUAAUAACUUGGCCAAAAACACAAGUGCCAUCUUAUGAACGUGUUGAUUCAUUGCACAAAAUACAACAGAGAAAGAAUCAAUUUUACAGAAUCAUUAAGAUACGUAGGUAUUAAAACAUUGUCAGUAAAUAGCAUAUUUAUUUUAGCUGGUGUGCCAACCGCCAUAAAACUCUGACAGAAGAAGAAGUGCCAUCUUACCUUUGCCAGUACGACUGUGCUCUUGCAGUUAGGCGGCCUGUGAAUGAGGAGGUCUUGUACCCAGCCGCUGCAAAACUGUUCAUGAGCUUGAAGGGAUUUAUAGCUCUUAAACUCCUGCAAAGUGUACGCACUCAAUCCUAAAACGAGGUAAUUGACGAUGUCCAUACAUGUGAGCGGAGGUAGUGCGUCUGGAUCCGUAAUCCAGUCUUGGGCUGCUAAAUCAAAUGGAUCUAUCUUGUUUAUCUCGGACAGUUUGUCUAAAUAACGUUUUUUUUUUGGAAGUGGCAUUUAGUUUCUCCCGAUAGGGCCCCUUCUCUUUUUCUUUCAACUUCUCCAUUACUUCCGUUCUUCAAUUUUACCUCGUUUUAGCCAAACACACCCACAAUUAAAUGUCAUAGCAAUGGUUGGCGAAAACGUAAACAGAGAUCGUGCCUCUAAACAUGGCGCCCACGUCCCAUAAUGCAACACUGUGUGACGUACCUUCACAUUCCCUAUUAGGCUAUAACUAAAAUAAAAUAAAAUAAAAUACCACAAUAGUCUUGAUUUGUUCAAUUAUUCAAAUAAAAUACUUCACCGUAUGAUCUCAACGUCUAUAC
Molecule: long non-coding RNA, 2462 nt
Filed under: Carassius auratus (goldfish)
Lineage: Eukaryota; Metazoa; Chordata; Actinopteri; Cypriniformes; Cyprinidae
Description: lncRNA (ENSCARG00000003540.1)
Source: RNAcentral